GCAGAGGUAAAAGAGGUUUCACUAUAAUAGAGAGAGAGUACAAUUUGAAGAAGGUUGAAUUUUCUUAAUAAUGAAAAUAACCCACUAAAUCGCACUUAUAUAGUACGUGCAUACAAAUAGGUCCUAGGCUACUACCCUACACUACCACCACAGACCCCAUUAAAAAUCACAAAUACGGAUCGCACCGCGAAACUUUCACGGCCAAAUCAAUAAAAUUCGGAUCAUAACUCUUAACACCUCCAACUUUCAUUUUCCUCACCAUUCAGCUUUCACUGAGAGAAACUAUCAUCUAGAGAGAUAAGAGUUCUUAUCCAUAAUGAUCUCUUAUCUAUAAUAAUGUAAAUUGAAAGAAAAUCAAUCACAAUAGUCGAGUAACUCUUCAAGUGACAUGUGAGGAACAAAGUAAUACACUAAUAACUUUAAGGAAGGUAUAAUUCUUUCGAAUUCUAAGAAAAAACAUGAUUUAACAACAUGAUGCAUCAUCUAUAAAACAAACACAUCUCACUUAAAACUAAAAAUAUCAACUAAUAACGCAAGUUAAAUAGCUAUUCCACAAUUAUAAUGGCUCAUAUUUAAAACAAAAAAAUAAUAAUAAAACUUUGAAAACAACUAUGCCAAACGUAUAGGGCUCAAUGAUAAUUUUUUAAAAAAUAAAACUGAUAAUAUAACUUUGAAGUUAAUCUAGUUAUCGAAUCAUACCGAAGAAGAACCAAGGUAUGGCUAUUUGACUAAUAGCAUUCUCG
Molecule: long non-coding RNA, 743 nt
Filed under: Capsicum annuum
Lineage: Eukaryota; Viridiplantae; Streptophyta; Magnoliopsida; Solanales; Solanaceae
Description: long non-coding RNA (CANN_LNC014860)
Source: RNAcentral